This 185-nucleotide ribosomal RNA is filed under the name Listeria monocytogenes. RNAcentral's name for it is "partial 16S ribosomal RNA". It matches the Rfam family "Bacterial small subunit ribosomal RNA", at positions 1 to 180 of the family's 1533-position model. Lineage: Bacteria; Bacillati; Bacillota; Bacilli; Caryophanales; Listeriaceae. The record is from RNAcentral.
UUUAAAGAGAGUUUGAUCCUGGCUCAGGACGAACGCUGGCGGCGUGCCUAAUACAUGCAAGUCGAACGAACGGAGGAAGAGCUUGCUCUUCCAAAGUUAGUGGCGGACGGGGGAGUAACACGUGGGCAACCUGCCUGUAAGUUGGGGAUAACUCCGGGAAACCGGGGCUAAUACCGAAUGAUAAA